RNAcentral lists this long non-coding RNA (1555 nucleotides) under Gossypium raimondii (Peruvian cotton). RNAcentral's name for it is "long non-coding RNA (GRAI_LNC007564)". The record is from RNAcentral. Lineage: Eukaryota; Viridiplantae; Streptophyta; Magnoliopsida; Malvales; Malvaceae.
GCAAUUAAAGGCCUUACAGGUCAGAUUCCAACUUCGAUCUUCAACAUUUCUUCUCUGAAGACCAUUGAUCUCUCCAACAAUAGCCUAUCAGGUAGUUUGCCUAAUGAUAUGUGUCAACAUCUUCCCAAGCUUGAAGGGCUUUACCUGGGUUUGAAUGAAUUAUCUGGUAACGUUCCAUCAAGUAUGGGCAAAUGCAGCAACCUUAAAAUUUUGUGGUUGUCCUCUAAUCAAUUGAUGGGGAUCAUUCCAAAAAGUAUUGGAAAUCUGACACGACUCAAAGAAUUAUAUUUGGGGCUGAAUAACCUAGAAGGUAUUAAAUUUUCUUGGUUUUUGAGUUUAAAGUAUUUUUUUAAUAAAAGAGUUUGAUUAGUAAUAGAUAACAAAAGUAAGAGCAUUUUAUUUCAUUCAAGGCAAAAUAGUUCAAAAUAGUUAAUUUGAUGAAAACAAAUAUGCUUAAAAUAUUAAAAUCUAACAUUUGCAAAUUAUGUAAAACAAAAAAUAAAACCUCUUUGACUUAUGCUAACAAAAUAGGUAGUUUGACACCUUGAUUUUUCGACUAUGUGUGCAGGCCAAAUUCCUGAGGAAAUCGGUAAUCUUCUUGGUUUGGAAAUGCUUAAUAUUCAAGAAAUUAAAGGCCUUACAGGUCAGAUUCCAACUUCGAUCUUCAACAUUUCUUCUCUAAAGACCAUUGAUCUCUCCAACAAUAGCCUAUCAGGUAGUUUGCCUAAUGAUAUGUGUCAACAUCUUCCCAAGCUUGAAGGGCUUUACCUGGGUUUGAAUGAAUUAUCUGGUAACGUUCCAUCAAGUAUGGGCAAAUGCAGCAACCUUAAAAUUUUGUGGUUGUCCUCUAUCAAUUGAUGGGGAUCAUUCCAAAAAGUAUUGGAAACCUGACACGACUCAAAGAAUUAUAUUUGGGGUUGAAUAACCUAGAAGGUAUUAAAUUUUAUUGGUUUCUGAGUUUAAAGUAUUUUUUUAAUAAAAGAGUUUGAUUAGUAAUAGAUAACAAAAGUAAGAGCAUUUUAUUUCAUUCAAGGAAAAAUAGUUCAAAAUAGUUAAUUUGAUGAAAACAAAUAUGCUUAAAAUAUUAAAAUCUAACAUUUGCAAAUUAUGUAAAACAAAAAAGAAAACCUCUUUGACUUAUGCUAACAAAAUAGGUAGUUUGACACCUUGAUUUUUCGACUAUGUGUGCAGGCCAAAUUCCUGAGGAAAUCGGUAAUCUUCUUGGUUUAGAAAUGCUUAAUAUUAAAGCAAUUAAAGGCCUUACAGGUCCGAUUCCAACUUCGAUCUUCAACAUUUCUUCUCUAAAGACCAUUGAUCUCUCCAACAAUAGCCUAUCAGGUAGUUUGCCUAAUGAUAUGUGUCAACAUCUUCCCAAGCUUGAAGGGCUUUACCUGGGUUUGAAUGAAUUAUUUGGUAACAUUCCAUCAAGUAUGGGCAAAUGUUGCAACCUUAAAAUUUUGUGGUUGUCCUCUAAUCAAUUGAUGGGGAUCAUUCCAAAAAGUAUUGGAAAUCUGACACGACUCAAAGAAUUAUAUUUGGGGCUGAAUAACCUAGA